UUUCCGUAGGUGAACCUGCGGAAGGAUCAUUAUUGUAUAACCGAGGUGCGAGGGCUGUCGCUGACCCGAAAGGUCGUGCACGCCCGAGUGCCCUCACACACAUCCAUCUCACCCCUAUAUGCACCACCGCGUGGGUCCCCCUUUGGCUUGUUCGGAGGGGGGCUUACGUUUUCACACAAACUUUGUAUGCAGUGUAGAAUGUAUUUUUUGUUUUUGCGAUCACGCAAUCAAUACAACUCUCAACAACGGAUCUCUUGGCUCUC
Molecule: unclassified non-coding RNA, 263 nt
Filed under: plant metagenome
Description: partial contains small subunit ribosomal RNA, internal transcribed spacer 1, and 5.8S ribosomal RNA
Source: RNAcentral